RNAcentral lists this ribosomal RNA (172 nucleotides) under uncultured bacterium. RNAcentral describes it as "partial 16S ribosomal RNA". It matches the Rfam family "Bacterial small subunit ribosomal RNA", at positions 335 to 524 of the family's 1533-position model. The record is from RNAcentral.
ACUCCUACGGGAGGCAGCAGUGGGGAAUAUUGGACAAUGGGGGCAACCCUGAUCCAGCGACGCCGCGUGAAUGAAGAAGGUCUUAGGAUUGUAAAGUUCUUUUGUUGGGGAAGAUAAUGACGUUGCCCAACGAAUAAGCCCCGGCUAACUUCGUGCCAGCAGCCGCGGUAAU